This 1002-nucleotide long non-coding RNA is filed under the name Anser cygnoides (Swan goose). Its description in RNAcentral is "lncRNA (ENSACDG00005011427.1)". Lineage: Eukaryota; Metazoa; Chordata; Aves; Anseriformes; Anatidae. The record is from RNAcentral.
AUGUUUGAUGGGCUCAGAACAAACAUGUUGCUCUGCUUUCAAAAACCGGAGUUGAAAAGCUAUAUUUGGGCAAAUUUCAAAACAACACAUUCUUUUUUUUUUUUUUCCCCUCCCACAGCAUUUCUCCCGUAUGCUAUUUUUUUUCUCCACCUUGCAGUGACUAUUAAACAAACCCAAGGCACAUUUAGCUCGUCUCCUUGUAUCUGUUUUGGCCAACUAGGCUGGCACCUAAAUUACCGGGCACAGCUCUGGGUACGAGCUGGGACCAGGCCUUCAGCACAUCGAUGCCUUCGCUUUCCCACCUGCAAAAUGGGAACAAACGCGUUUUGGUCGGGCAGACGCAUCUAUAGCUGCUCCCCAGCUCUCUGCAGGGCUCAGCGGGGCACCGGGCUGUUUCGCCUGGUUUCCAAGACAAAUGAAAAGAUGUAUAAAUACGUACUUAGCUGGCAGAGCUUCUCGGGAAUAUCUGGGGAUGUGCGGCCUUGCUUGGUUGUUUUUAACAAGCAGGGGAUCAGAAGUGUACGUUCGCAUCUGACAGGCAGCACCAGCUCUGAAAGGAGGCAUUAUGGUCUGCCGGGCACAUUUAAGCGCGGUUUCGGUGCCACCACAGAAAUAACCCAUCCUGCCGGCCUGCCCGAGGGGCUCCUGCUCCCCAAAACCCAGGCGAGCAAAGCAGCGAGCGGGGACGCCCGAGGAGAGAAACCCCCCAGCACGGGGGCAUGGGAACGGGCACCACGGGUGAAGAUGGCAGAAUGGGGCCAGACGGACAGGGUACUAAUUCCCGUCACGAAUCAUUACCACAAGCACUGGAUGAGGCACCUCCAAAGGAGCAAGGAGCCUCCAAAGGAGCAAGGAGCAGCGGCACGGCGAGGCCAAGAACCCACGGCAGAUCCCAGCCCCGCGCCCAUCACCUCGCACAGCCAGCAAGGAGCUGCUCAUGUCCCCAGACCAUCGCCACGUCCCCGUCUGAGCACCUUUCACACCUCCCCACAACCCCAAUGA